This 528-nucleotide ribosomal RNA is filed under the name Triticum aestivum (bread wheat). RNAcentral describes it as "partial small subunit ribosomal RNA". The record is from RNAcentral. Lineage: Eukaryota; Viridiplantae; Streptophyta; Magnoliopsida; Poales; Poaceae.
UUAGAUUCUAUAGAUCCUAUACCACAUGACUGGCAGGUAGCAAUAAAGGACCCAAGAUGGAGAACAGCAAUGUUUGAAGAGAUGGAAGCACUUGACAAAAACAAUACUUGGAUCCUCACCACUCUUCCUGUAGGGAAAAAGACUGUGGGUUGUAAAUGGGUAUUCACUGUAAAACAGACUCCAGAAGGUAAAGUGGAGAGGUACAAGGCCAGGUUAGUAGCAAAGGGGUAUAGCCAAACCUAUGGAGUAGAUUAUGAUGAAACUUUUGCCCUAGUAGCAAAAAUGAACACCAUCAGAACAAUAAUCUCAAUUGCAGCAAACCGUAAUUGGAAAUUAUUUCAAAUGGAUGUUAAAAAUGCAUUCCUCCAUGGAGACUUGCAGGAAGAGGUGUAUAUGGAGAUUCCUCCAGGAUUCAAUAGCCGUGAGACUAAAGGCAAGGUUUGUAAACUAAAAAAAUCCCUCUAUGGUCUAAAACAAUCACCUCGAGCAUGGUUUGGAAGGUUUAGAAAAGGAUUUUGCUCCUUGGGG